CUAGCUCAAAGGGUGAGGUUGUCCUCACAUAUUUAUACACUUCACAUCCCGGGAACCUAAGCAAUCCUGGGUCAAAUGCCCACAUUGCAGUCCUUAACCCGGCUCUGAUACCAUGUUAAAUAUGCUUGGAUCUCAUCCCCAAAAGCUAGCUCAAAGGGUGAGGUUGUCCUCACAUAUUUAUACACUUCACAUCCCGGGAACCUAAGCAAUGUGAGACUUCAAACAAUUUCCAACAACACAACAACAUAUUUAUACACUUCACAUCCCGGAAACCUAAGCAAUGUGGGACUUCAAACAAUCUCCAACAACACAACAACAUAUUCAAC
Molecule: long non-coding RNA, 326 nt
Filed under: Trifolium pratense (red clover)
Lineage: Eukaryota; Viridiplantae; Streptophyta; Magnoliopsida; Fabales; Fabaceae
Description: long non-coding RNA (TPRA_LNC011855)
Source: RNAcentral